This 495-nucleotide ribosomal RNA is filed under the name uncultured bacterium. RNAcentral's name for it is "partial 16S ribosomal RNA". It matches the Rfam family "Bacterial small subunit ribosomal RNA", at positions 28 to 507 of the family's 1533-position model. The record is from RNAcentral.
GACGAACGCUGGCGGCGUGCCUAAUACAUGCAAGUCGAACGCUGAAGGAGGAGCUUGCUUCUCUGGAUGAGUUGCGAACGGGUGAGUAACGCGUAGGUAACCUGCCUGGUAGCGGGGGAUAACUAUUGGAAACGAUAGCUAAUACCGCAUAAUAGUAGAUGUUGCAUGACAUUUGCUUAAAAGGUGCAAUUGCAUCACUACCAGAUGGACCUGCGUUGUAUUAGCUAGUUGGUGGGGUAACGGCUCACCAAGGCGACGAUACAUAGCCGACCUGAGAGGGUGAUCGGCCACACUGGGACUGAGACACGGCCCAGACUCCUACGGGAGGCAGCAGUAGGGAAUCUUCGGCAAUGGACGGAAGUCUGACCGAGCAACGCCGCGUGAGUGAAGAAGGUUGUCGGAUCGUAAAGCUCUGUUGUAAGAGAAGAACGAGUGUGAGAGUGGAAAGUUCACACUGUGACGGUAUCUUACCAGAAAGAGACGGCUAACUACGUG